RNAcentral lists this long non-coding RNA (974 nucleotides) under Pan troglodytes (chimpanzee). RNAcentral describes it as "lincRNA". The record is from RNAcentral. Lineage: Eukaryota; Metazoa; Chordata; Mammalia; Primates; Hominidae.
CGCUGCCGCAGCCUCCGCCGCUCCAGCCCCGGCUCGGCAGCGCGUUCCCUCCCCGCCUCGCCGCUCCGCUCGCGGGCUCGCGGGCUCCCUCGCUCUCUCCCUGCCCCCGCCGCUGCCGGCGCCGCGCCGAGCGGAGCCCGGCCGGCCACGGGCUGCCUCUCCCGAGGUCCCUUUCCCGAGGGGGGAGGUGGUGGGGGCGCGGCGCAGGCGGGGCGGGGAGGAGAGGAGAGUCCGGGGGAGGCGGCAAGGCUGCGCCCUCGGCUCCCUUCCGAUCCUCGCGGGCCCAGCGGCCCCAGGCCGGGCCGGAGAGCGCCGAGCCGCCAGGCAGCGGAGGAAGAGAGGAGGAGGACCCGGAGUCUCGCCGCGGGAGGGUGCCCAGGGCGAGGGCGUGCGAGGGGGAGUGACUCCGCGCGCGAGGGGCAGCAGCACCUGCUUGAGACCAAGCCCGGCGACCUGGCAAGGUGGGGCCCCCUACCGCGCAAUCUUUGCGGCUGGCCCCCGGCUCUCAGCUCCGAGUGCAGAGGCUGAAGAGGUACCCGGGGGACACACUGCCUCUAACCCCACGUAUGAGCCGCUCUCCUCUCGGAGGGCGAAGGCACCAUCGGAAGGUCGAGAUUCGCCCUCCUCUCCCGCCACGUCUACCCACCACCCAGACCGGGAGUCUGGACUUGGGAGCGUGAACUCUCACCCGAGCCGGUCCCCUUACAACUGGAGCCCGCCCAGCCCCUCAGUCCCUCCCUGAAGCCCAUGGGUCCCCACUGCUCCGUGCCUCGUCUACCCAGGAUGGGGAGUGGGAAGGUCAGCAUGUGCCCACAGGGCCAGGUGUCCGGCCCAGAUUCCCACCCUCAGGGCGGCGGCGCGCAAAGGGCGCAGUCCCCGCCGCUGGGCGGACCCGCGGCUCCGGCUUUCCCGGUGUCUCCAGCCUCGGUGCCCGGAAUCCUGGAUCUCGGCCUGGCGCUCCGGAAGCGAGGCAG